AACGAACGCUGGCGGCAGGCCUAACACAUGCAAGUCGAGCGAGGACUUCGGUUCUAGCGGCGGACGGGUGAGUAACGCGUGGGAAUGUGCCCUUCUCUACGGAAUAGCCCUGGGAAACUGGGAGUAAUACCGUAUACGCCCUAUUGGGGAAAGAUUUAUCGGAGAAGGAUCAGCCCGCGUUGGAUUAGGUAGUUGGUGGGGUAAUGGCCUACCAAGCCGACGAUCCAUAGCUGGUUUGAGAGGAUGAUCAGCCACACUUGGACUGAGACACGGCCCAGACUCCUACGGGAGGCAGCAGUGGGGAAUCUUAGACAAUGGGGGCAACCCUGAUCUAGCCAUGCCGCGUGAGUGAUGAAGGCCUUAGGGUUGUAAAGCUCUUUCAGCUGGGAAGAUAAUGACGGUACCAGCAGAAGAAGCCCCGGCUAACUCCGUG
RNAcentral lists this ribosomal RNA (433 nucleotides) under uncultured bacterium. RNAcentral's name for it is "partial 16S ribosomal RNA". It matches the Rfam family "Bacterial small subunit ribosomal RNA", at positions 29 to 507 of the family's 1533-position model. The record is from RNAcentral.